GAGAACAAACUACCAAUUAACGAGCGAGGAAACAGGGCCAGAGAAUUGGAACAAAAUACAAGGCUGCCUCUGAAAGUGUGACUUUUCAGUUCCUCCUAUGGGGUGGAUUCUACUUACUUACAUCUUGAAGAUGGAUUUUGCGACUUGCUUUGGCCAUGAGAAUACAAAAGAAGUGACAUUGUUCCAGUUCUAAGUCUAGACCUCAAGUGGCCUUGCAUGCUUUGAUUUGUUCUCCUGGAAAGUUGUCCUGCCAUCAUGAGAACAGAUCCAGGCUAACCUUCUGAUGAUGAGAGAGGUGUGGUCCAGCAGUCCUCAGCACCCCAGCUGACAGUCAUCCUAGAUUGAUCAGUCCUCAGCCACCUGCAAGAUGACCGCAGACACAGGAGUGAGAAGGUUGAUACAGGCUGUGCCCAGCCCAGAUUAGCAGGGCCACCCAUUUUACCUGUAAAUCCAUGAGCAAUAAAAAAUGAUGGCUGUCUUGA
This 482-nucleotide long non-coding RNA is filed under the name Homo sapiens (human). RNAcentral describes it as "HSALNT0405868". The record is from RNAcentral. Lineage: Eukaryota; Metazoa; Chordata; Mammalia; Primates; Hominidae.